Molecule: unclassified non-coding RNA, 629 nt
Filed under: Scleria hispidula
Lineage: Eukaryota; Viridiplantae; Streptophyta; Magnoliopsida; Poales; Cyperaceae
Description: partial external transcribed spacer 1
Source: RNAcentral
UGAGUUGUUCUAGACUUGCUUUCGAAGCGGGCUCCCCGCAUAUUUGUGCGGUCAACCGUUUUGUAGCUUGUUUCUCGAGCGUCCCACCCCGAUGCACAUAUUUUGCUUGGCUGGUGCGAUCAAUGGGUUGUUGCCUGUGUUGCUACUAUUUUUGGGACAAUGUUUGUUUUGUGACUAUGGCAUGUCAUGUUGCCUUCGAUUAUGAUUUUGAGAAAGUUGCGUAGGCUAUUGAAACAUCGGCUUURUUCGGGAGCGAUCGAUGGGUCUCGACUCGUCCGCAGCUCGCGUCAUAUUAUAUGAGCGGCUCUUUCGGAUACGGUAGCUAUGUGGGUUCUUGUGGUCCUCUUCGGUCCGCAUGCAACCUCGUAGUACACACCCGUAACAGUUCAUUGUGUGGUAGGAUCUUGUGCCAAUCUUUGCGUUCCUGUUUUUGCUCCUCGUGCGGGAGAAAAGACUGGGCGUGGGGAUAAAGCAGAUGCUGGCAUAUGGUGUUUGUACGUGUGGUGGGAGUUCUAUGAUAUAUUAGUGAUUGCGUUGCGUGCGUGCGUAAUGGCAUUCCGUCCGGGAGUGCUUCAGCAGCUCGCAGGCUCACUUUUCUGACUUGCUACCUGGUUGAUCCUGCCAGUAGU